RNAcentral lists this ribosomal RNA (440 nucleotides) under uncultured bacterium. Its description in RNAcentral is "partial 16S ribosomal RNA". It matches the Rfam family "Bacterial small subunit ribosomal RNA", at positions 338 to 795 of the family's 1533-position model. The record is from RNAcentral.
CCUACGGGGAGCUGCAGUAGGGAAUAUUGCUCAAUGGGGGAAACCCUGAAGCAGCAAUGCCGCGUGGAGGAUGAAGGUUUUCGGAUUGUAAACUCCUUUUGUUAGAGAAGAUAAUGACGGUAUCUAACGAAUAAGCACCGGCUAACUCCGUGCCAGCAGCCGCGGUAAUACGGAGGGUGCAAGCGUUACUCGGAAUCACUGGGCGGAAAGAGCGCGUAGGCGGGAGAGCAGGUCAGAUGUGAAAUCCUAUGGCUUAACCAUAGAACUGCAUUUGAAACUGUUAUUCUAGAGUAUGGGAGAGGUAGGUGGAAUUCUUGGUGUAGGGGUAAAAUCCGUAGAGAUCAAGAGGAAUACUCAUUGCGAAGGCGACCUGCUAGAACAUAACUGACGCUGAUGCGCGAAAGCGUGGGGAGCAAACAGGAUUAGAUACCCGUGUAGUC